ACGACAUCGAAAGCUUGCUUUCGAUGGGCGUCGACCGGCGCACGGGUGAGUAACGCGUAUCCAACCUGCCCAUCACUUGGGGAUAACCUUGCGAAAGUAAGACUAAUACCCAAUGACGUCUCUAGAAGACAUCUGAAGGAGAUUAAAGAUUUAUCGGUGAUGGAUGGGGAUGCGUCUGAUUAGCUUGUUGGCGGGGUAACGGCCCACCAAGGCGACGAUCAGUAGGGGUUCUGAGAGGAAGGUCCCCCACAUUGGAACUGAGACACGGUCCAAACUCCUACGGGAGGCAGCAGUGAGGAAUAUUGGUCAAUGGGCGAGAGCCUGAACCAGCCAAGUAGCGUGCAGGAUGACGGCCCUAUGGGUUGUAAACUGCUUUUAUAAGGGAAUAAAGUGAGCCUCGUGAGGCUUUUUGCAUGUACCUUAUGAAUAAGGACCGGCUAAUUCCGUGCCAGCAGCCGCGGUAAUACGGAAGGUCCGGGCGUUAUCCGGAUUUAUUGGGUUUAAAGGGAGCGUAGGCCGGAGAUUAAGCGUGUUGUGAAAUGUAGACGCUCAACGUCUGCACUGCAGCGCGAACUGGUUUCCUUGAGUACGCACAAAGUGGGCGGAAUUCGUGGUGUAGCGGUGAAAUGCUUAGAUAUCACGAAGAACUCCGAUUGCGAAGGCAGCUCACUGGAGCGCAACUGACGCUGAAGCUCGAAAGUGCGGGUAUCGAACAGGAUUAGAUACCCUGGUAGUCCGCACGGUAAACGAUGGAUGCCCGCUGUUGGUCUGAAUAGGUCAGCGGCCAAGCGAAAGCAUUAAGCAUCCCACCUGGGGAGUACGCCGGCAACGGUGAAACUCAAAUGAAUUGACGGAAGG
Molecule: ribosomal RNA, 858 nt
Filed under: uncultured bacterium
Lineage: Bacteria
Description: bacterial SSU rRNA
Rfam family: Bacterial small subunit ribosomal RNA
Source: RNAcentral